Molecule: unclassified non-coding RNA, 471 nt
Filed under: Hevea brasiliensis (rubber tree)
Lineage: Eukaryota; Viridiplantae; Streptophyta; Magnoliopsida; Malpighiales; Euphorbiaceae
Source: RNAcentral
AUUUUCUUACGCUUGGCAGAUUUCUGUAGAUGUUAUCUUAGUAAGCAUAAUUCAACAACACUAUUCAUUUAAUAAAGAGAGUAAAAAUUGAAUAAAAAGAAUAGCUUAACAACAUAAUUCAAGGAAGACAAGAAAGGGGAAAAAAAUAUCAUAUAAAACCAUUUUAUCAGCAAGAUUUGUCAUAUAAACCAACCAAAAUUAAACAGAAAAGAAUAAGUUUGUGGGUAGGUAAUGGUUGGAUGGAUAAAAUACAAGGCAGAUGGAUUUCUCUGGUAGCCAUAAAUAACAAAUAAUUUUGAAUCUGAUCAGCAAGAUUGACUGAAGAAACAGAUUCAUUAAAACUUGUUAAAUUCCAGAUAAACCACUAAUGAUAAUUUUAUCAUUGAUAUAAACAUCAGUAUUCAGUAACCCCAAAGUGAAAAAUAUUAAUAAAAAUAGCACAUAUAAGCACUGCUUACCACAUCCUCUGGG